Molecule: ribosomal RNA, 406 nt
Filed under: uncultured bacterium
Lineage: Bacteria
Description: partial 16S ribosomal RNA
Rfam family: Bacterial small subunit ribosomal RNA
Source: RNAcentral
AUUGAACGCUGGCGGCAGGCUUAACACAUGCAAGUCGAGCGAGCGGCGGACGGGUGAGUAAUGUCUGGGAAACUGCCUGAUGGAGGGGGAUAACUACUGGAAACGGUAGCUAAUACCGCAUACCAGCGGAUGUGCCCAGAUGGUAUUAGCUAGUAGGUGGGGUAAAGGCUCACCUAGGCGACGAGCCCUAGCUGGUCUGAGAGGAUGACCGGCCCAACUGGAACUGAGACACGGUCCAUGCUCUUACGGGGGGCAGCAGUGGGGAAUAUUGCACAAUGGGGGCAAGCCUGAUGCAGCCAUGCGGCGUGUAUGAAGAAGGCCUUCGGGUUGUAAAGUACUUUCAGCGGGGAGGCGUUACCCGCAGAAGAAGCACCGGCUAACUCCGUGCCAGCAGCCGCGGUAAUUC